Molecule: ribosomal RNA, 777 nt
Filed under: uncultured bacterium
Lineage: Bacteria
Description: bacterial SSU rRNA
Rfam family: Bacterial small subunit ribosomal RNA
Source: RNAcentral
AGAGUUUGAUCAUGGCUCAGAAUGGACGUUGGCGGCGUGGAUUAGGCAUGCAAGUCGUGCGAGAAAUUUCCUUCGGGAGAUGGACAGCGGCGAAAGGGAGAGGAAUACGUAGAAAUCUGCCCUCGGGUCGGGGAUAGCGGCGGGAAACUGCCGGUAAUACCCGAUAACGUCUUCGGACCAAAGGUGUGAUUCCGCCUGAGGAUGAGUCUACGACCUAUUAGCUAGUUGGCGGGAUAAUGGCCCACCAAGGCAACGAUGGGUAGCGGGUGUGAGAGCAUGACCCGCCUCACUGGGACUGAGACACUGCCCAGACAUCUACGGAUGGCUGCAGUCGAGAAUCUUUGUCAAUGGACGAAAGUCUGAACAAGCGACGCCGCGUGCGGGAUGAAGGCCUUCGGGUUGUAAACCGCUGUCGUAAGGGAACAAAUCUAUGGGGGUUCUCCCCUGUAGUUGAGUGAUCUUAGGAGGAAGGACGGGCUAAGUUCGUGCCAGCAGCCGCGGUAAGACGAACCGUUCGAACGUUAUUCGGUAUCACUGGGCUUAAAGAGUUCGUAGGCGGCCAUGCAGGUCAGGUGUGAAAUCCCACAGCUCAACUGUGGAACUGCGCUUGAAACCGCAUGGCUUGAGGGAGAUAGAGGUGAGCGGAACAGAUGGUGGAGCGGUGAAAUGCGUUGAUAUCAUCUGGAACACCGGUGGCGAAAGCGGCUCACUGGAUCUUUUCUGACGCUGAGGAACGAAAGCUAGGGUAGCGAACGGGAUUAGAUACCCUAGUAGUCC